GACGAACGCUGGCGGCGUGCUUAACACAUGCAAGUCGAACGGAAAGGCCCUGCUUUUGUGGGGUGCUCGAGUGGCGAACGGGUGAGUAACACGUGAGUAACCUGCCCUUGACUUUGGGAUAACUUCAGGAAACUGGGGUUAAUACCGGAUAGGAGCUCCUGCUGCAUGGUGGGGGUUGGUAAGUUUCGGCGGUUGGGGAUGGACUCGCGGCUUAUCAGCUUGUUGGUGGGGUAGUGGCUUACCAAGGCUUUGACGGGUAGCCGGCCUGAGAGGGUGACCGGCCACAUUGGGACUGAGAUACGGCCCAGACUCCUACGGGAGGCAGCAGUGGGGAAUAUUGCACAAUGGGCGGAAGCCUGAUGCAGCAACGCCGCGUGCGGGAUGACGGCCUUCGGGUUGUAAACCGCUUUCGCCUGUGACGAAGCGUGAGUGACGGUAAUGGGUAAAGAAGCACCGGCUAACUACGUG
Molecule: ribosomal RNA, 468 nt
Filed under: uncultured bacterium
Lineage: Bacteria
Description: partial 16S ribosomal RNA
Rfam family: Bacterial small subunit ribosomal RNA
Source: RNAcentral